RNAcentral lists this non-coding RNA (961 nucleotides) under Vulpes bengalensis (Bengal fox). Its description in RNAcentral is "12S ribosomal RNA". It matches the Rfam family "Bacterial small subunit ribosomal RNA". The record is from RNAcentral. Lineage: Eukaryota; Metazoa; Chordata; Mammalia; Carnivora; Canidae.
UAAAGGUUUGGUCCUAGCCUUCCUAUUAGUCCUUAGUAAACUUACACAUGCAAGCCUCCACGCCCCAGUGAGAAUGCCCUUAAAAUCACUUACGAUCUAAAGGAGCAGGUAUCAAGCACACUAUUAAGUAGCUCAUAACACCUUGCUAAGCCACACCCCCACGGGAUACAGCAGUGAUAGAAAUUAAGCCAUGAACGAAAGUUCGACUAAGUUAUACUAAAGAGGGUUGGUAAAUUUCGUGCCAGCCACCGCGGUCAUACGAUUAACCCAAACUAAUAGGCCCACGGCGUAAAGCGUGUUUAAGACAACACAUCACUAAAGUUAAAACUUAACUAAGCCGUAAAAAGCUGCAGUUACAAUAAAAUAUACUACGAAAGUGACUUUAAAAUUUUCUGACUACACGAUAGCUAAGACCCAAACUGGGAUUAGAUACCCCACUAUGCUUAGCCCUAAACUUAAAUAGUUCUAUAACAAAACAAUUCGCCAGAGAACUACUAGCAACAGCUUAAAACUCAAAGGACUUGGCGGUGCUUUAUACCCCUCUAGAGGAGCCUGUUCUAUAAUCGAUAAACCCCGAUAAACCUCACCAUCUCUUGCUAAUACAGUCUAUAUACCGCCAUCUUCAGCAAACCCUUAAAAGGUAGAACAGUAAGCAAGAUCAUCACGCAUAAAAAAGUUAGGUCAAGGUGUAACUUAUGAGAUGGGAAGAAAUGGGCUACAUUUUCUAUCUUAAAGCCAAUUUACGAAAGAUUGUAUGAAACUAGAACAGGAAGGAGGAUAUAGUAGUAAAUCAAGAAUCAAGAGCCGAAGUGAAUACGGGCCACGAAGCACUUGCACACACCGCCCGUCACCCACCUCAGAUAAUAACACUGAGGUAACAAGCUCAGCAGCCUAAGGUGGAAUACGAUGGGAGAUAAGUCGUAACAAGGUAAGCAUACCGGAAGGUGCGGCUUGGAUUAAC